Molecule: long non-coding RNA, 748 nt
Organism: Triticum dicoccoides
Lineage: Eukaryota; Viridiplantae; Streptophyta; Magnoliopsida; Poales; Poaceae
Exons: 3
Source: RefSeq, a predicted model, not a curated record
UCAUCCCUCUCACUUCAUCUCCCCGAUUGUCGUCUCUAGAUCCAAAUCCAAAGAUGGUGUCUGCAACUUGCUAGGCGAGCCACAUGCCCAUGAGUCCUGAGAUCGAACAGGUCCAUGUUGAGAUCCAAUACAUCUUAAUUCGCGAGGGGGAGUGACAUCAACUUCUUCACUUCAUCUUCCGCGUCCAAUUCUCUUUCUCUUCAUCUUCUCCACUACUAUUUUGUAAAAGAAACUGAACAAUUUUACUUCUCCUCCUUACCUUCUCCAUUGAACAGAAAGAUGAGCAACUUAUGGAGUUGGCACCACAACUAGGCGUUCGGGCUUCUGCUCCCGUGGAUCCAUCUUGCUGCCUCCAGGCCUGGAAGAUCAUCCUUGCAGGUCGAAUUUUCUGCUCAUAGAUCAUCGCUGCUGUGUUGAUGAGCCGCCCUGUAUGUCGCAGUAGAGGCCUGAGCGCGUGUAGUCCGUAGUCGUCCGCCUCUUCUUCUACUCACAACCCUCCACUGCCGCCUCUACCGAAACAUCUUCCGCGUAAACGCCAAGCAAGGGCACACAGUUUGAUUGAUUGGACUACACCUGUGCCAAGAUACGUGGAUUCACAAGAGAUGUGGCUGUACAAUUGUUCAGCGGUAACAAUGGUGGAUUUUGGCCCUAAUCAAAAGGAAAUUAAAAACCAUGGCCUAUAUGAUGUGAUUAAGAUUUAAGCCCCUAUGGUUAUCUGGAUUUUUUUUAGUUUGAACGACUAAUAAAU